UAUUCAUUCAUUCUAAUAGAGGCGGGAAUUAAGUUGGUAUUCCUGAGCGUUUUUUGUGUUGGUGGUUGGUAUGGUGAAGGCGCGAGCCGGGCUGGGCUUGGGGUGCGGGAGGAAAGAGAGUUCAAUACGUGCAACAUGCCUCUGAGGCAAACCUACGCUGAAGCGCGCUGCACACCUUGCGCAUGCGUCACAAAGUCCUGCUUCUGACGAAUAACGGGGAGGGGAGGAAGGGAGACUUGAUAAGUGCGCGCGCCUCACGCCGGCGCAGUGAGGUUGGGAAGGGGGCGGAGGGGCUGACGCGUGCGCACUGGACGGGGUUUUUGGCGGGCGUUGCGCAGAAGCGGCGGCUGUGAGGGGUUACAAACCAGGGAGGGGGAAGUUGCUUCCGCUCCGAGCCCGCUACUUUCCCCAGAUGGAAAAUAUUUCUCUGUUUCCUGUGCUCCAUAAGAUGGGAAACUUGUCAAGGCAAAGUAAAUGCCUCGCAAAUCAGAAAAGACUACAGCAAUAUCUGGUUGAAUUAGAAACUUCAGAGCACAUCUGAGUUUUUGUUUCAGAGAAUCCAUGCUACUAAAGUACCCCAAUCAGAAUCUUACAGAGCAGCAUGAAACCACCUGAAGAUCAGGUAACCUGAAAAUGGAAUGAAGAGGUAUAUUGUUGACUGGGUUUUAAGCAUCAUUGCUAGAUGCAAAAAUAGGUGCAAUGUGCUUUAAAGAGGCUGCUGUUUUACAGUAAGAACCCGACCCAUUUAUAACAGCCAAGGGCAUAACUGCAAAAGCAAGAUCUCUGUGUUUAUGGCUGCUUAUAGGAUCCAUCAGUGCUGAUUGCUCUGAUUGG
Molecule: non-coding RNA, 834 nt
Organism: Podarcis muralis (Common wall lizard)
Lineage: Eukaryota; Metazoa; Chordata; Lepidosauria; Squamata; Lacertidae
Source: RefSeq, a predicted model, not a curated record